AGAGUUUGAUCCUGGCUCAGAUUGAACGCUGGCGGCAUGCCUAACACAUGCAAGUCGAACGGCAGCACAGAGGAGCUUGCUCCUUGGGUGGCGAGUGGCGGACGGGUGAGUAAUGCAUCGGGAUCUACCCUGACGUGGGGGAUAACCUCGGGAAACCGGGACUAAUACCGCAUACGUCCUACGGGAGAAAGCGGGGGACCUUUCAGGCCUCGCGCGGCAGGACGAACCGAUAUGCGAUUAGCUAGUUGGCGGGGUAAUGGCCCACCAAGGCGACGAUCGCUAGCUGGUCUGAGAGGAUGAUCAGCCACACUGGGACUGAGACACGGCCCAGACUCCUACGGGAGGCAGCAGUGGGGAAUAUUGGACAAUGGGCGCAAGCCUGAUCCAACAAUGCCGCGUGUGUGAAGAAGGCCUUCGGCUUGUAAAGCACUUUUAUCAGGAGCGAAAUCUGCAUGCUUAAUACGUGUGCAGUC
RNAcentral lists this ribosomal RNA (473 nucleotides) under uncultured Rhodanobacter sp. Its description in RNAcentral is "bacterial SSU rRNA". It matches the Rfam family "Bacterial small subunit ribosomal RNA", at positions 8 to 477 of the family's 1533-position model. The record is from RNAcentral. Lineage: Bacteria; Pseudomonadati; Pseudomonadota; Gammaproteobacteria; Lysobacterales; Rhodanobacteraceae.